GACUUCAGGAGUGCUCCUUGACAAUGGAAACUUCAUUUUAAGGAAGACAUCGGAUGUGUCUAGUGUUGCUUGGCAGAGUUUCGAUCAUCCCACUGAUACGUGGUUGCCAGGUGCCAAGUUUGUAUAUUAUUCACAUACCUCUGAACGGACAGUUUUGGUGGCUUGGACAGAUUUCGAUGAUCCAGCUCCUGGGAUAUUCUCUGCAAUGCCGGCAGCGGAAGGAAAAUUUCUGUUAUCGCUAUUUAACAGGUCAGAAGUCUACUGGAAUUGUAGUGACUGGACUGAGGCUGAUUAUGGGCUUCAGCCUUCACAGACAGUGGAAAACACGAUCAACUUCACCUUUGUUUCGAAUGAGAAUGAGACCUAUUCCAAAUAUUCCUCAGUUGCUCCUUAUAAUCUUUCUAGGAUAGUGCUCGGACCGACAGGGCUGUUCCAGCAUUUAGUAUGGGCAAAGCACAUCCAGGAAUGGAAAGUGUUUUCGAUACUACCAACACAAACGUGUGAGAUUUAUCCCUUUUGUGGUGCUUCUUCUAACUGCAAUCAGAGUGAUGCACCGGUUUGUGAUUGCGCUCUUGGACACUCAGAUCAUCUGAAGCUGGAAGAUCAUAUGGGCCGAUGCAAGAGGAUAAAUGCAUCGAAAUGUAGUGGUGACAGGAAAGAUAAUUUUUUCCUCAUGCCUCAUACACUACUGCCGAAAAAUUCUGAUUCGUUCACGGUAGAAAACAUUGAUGCAUGCAGGUUAUUGUGCUUGAGCAACUGUUCGUGCAGUGCAUACGCUUACAUUGCUAACUGUCAGAUAUGGAUGGAUGAGAAAUUUAUGGUUCAACAUUCCGCCAGUGUUGAAGUUUUUAAAGAUUUCUAUGUCCGGAUUGCGGCGUUGGACUGGAAGGAGGAGAGUAAGAAAAAGGGAAAACCCAGUUUGGUAGCAGCAGUUGUUGUGUCCUUAGCUUUUCUCGUGCUCCUUGGUGUGUUGCUGGCGACUAUUAGGACAAGACGGUUUGCUCGUGCAGUGGACGAUCAUUUGCUGCAUUUUGAAUAUCGAGUUCUGAAGAAGGCAACAAAGAACUUCUCUGAGAAAAUUGGGGAAGGCGGGUUUAGUUCUGUUUUCUGGGGAGCACUGCCAGACUCAACUCCUGUAGCAGUGAAGAAACUUGCAAACCAAAACCAAAGUAACAAACAGUUCCUUGCGGAAAUUAGAACUAUUGGAACGAUACAGCACGUCAAUGUGGUUCGACUGCGCGGCUUUUCUGCAGAAGAGUCGAAGAGGUUCCUAGUUUAUGACUACCUUACAAAUGGUUCGCUCGCAGCUCAUUUGUUUCAGAAAGGUUCCAACACCCUCGAUUGGAAAACCAGAUACAACAUUGCCAUUGGGAUUGCUAAAGGAUUGGAGUACCUCCAUGAGAGGUGUCGAGAUCGCAUCAUACACUGCGAUAUCAAGCCGGAGAAUAUACUUUUGGAUUCAGAACUGGCACCACAGAUUGCUGAUUUCGGCCUCGCGAAGCUUGUGGGACGGGAUGCCAGCCAGGUAAUUACCACCAUGAGGGGAACCAGAGGGUACCUCGCACCAGAAUGGAUUUCCGGAGGAGCCAUUACUUCGAAAGUGGACGUUUUCAGCUAUGGAAAGAUGCUCUUUGAGAUCAUAUCGGGAAAGAGAAACACUGAGGAGCUGAAUAGUGAUAUGCGUGAUUAUCUACCGCUUCAGGUAGCUAAUUCAAUAGCCAAAGGAGAAGAGGUCUUGCCACUUGUGGACCGCAGAUUGAAAGGACUCGUGGAGAUGGAAGAAUUGUGCAGAGCAUGCAAAGUGGCUUGUUGGUGCAUUCAAGACAGCGAGGAAGAUAGACCGACUAUGUCUCAGGUAGUUCAGAUUUUGGAGGGGGUUAUGGCAGUAGAAAAGCCUCCAAUCCCAAGAAUUUUGUUGCAACUAGUAGGAAGUGAUGAGAUUGAGGCAUAAAACGAAGCACUAUGUCCUUUCUUUGAUAAUUCAUGGGCAUGGUGUAGCCAAUCCAUAUUCCUUUGAGUUUCUACUGUUACAAGCUGUGUACCUCCUUGGCCAAUAUAUUACGGUGACCUUUGUGGCAACUCGAAAUAUAAAGACUAAACAGUUAUUGUCGCUGAUGGACUCACUGGUCUAGGAUCUGCAUCGUGCUUACCAGAAUUGCAUCUCCAAACCAUUUAAUACUAAUAUUUCUCCAUCCUCUUGCAGCAGAAAAUCCAGUGAAGGAGUCGGUCAUCUAUUCAGCUUAUGUGUAUGCUCCAAACGAAAUUAGAUGAACUGUUUGAACAAAACAAUGCAAAAUCGUUGCCCUCUUGUUUAAACAUUAUUUAUAUGAGCCAUCCCUCCCAUUAGAAACGGUUGACACUUGAAAGUUGGUAGAGGCUCCGGCCAUAGAGGCAAGAGUCAUCCAAAAAGCGGUAUUCUUUAAUAAAAGGCGAAAAAAAUAGUUCACUCGGUGCUCACUACGUAGCUGCGUUAUCAAACAACUAUUAAAUAACCAAGUCCAUAAGAUUAUCUCCAUUUCUUGCUUCAACCGUUGUGGGACUCCAAACUCACCUUUGUGGAAAACCACUUCUUAUACGUAGGUUGGCUACAUUGUACUGCAAAGGCUUUGGCCUCUGUUCCUGGUCCAGAUGCUUGUGUGAGUCUGCUAGAGAAACACAGCCAUUUGGGCUGCCCUGGUAUUAAGGAUCGCUGUCCAUGUUUGAAACAUUUAGAGCACAAGACUUUCAGCGUCAUAUUCUCUUUAUAAUAUUCCAUUUUAAUACAUGUAACUAGAUACAAAAAAAAAUUCAACUAUAGAAUCGCAAGAUACUCAACUACAGCCCCUUGACUUAAUUAACUGCUCUAACUAAUUGAAUGCAUCGUAAUAUAGCCAGAUUCAAGUAAUUUACCGAUGAAAUUUGAUUAGCCUAUGAGCAGCCUGACCUGAAAAAUUUCAAAUGGUUGCUAGUAAAAGAACCGACCGUAAAGUAUUGGGUGAAUACAAGAAAGUCUCACUAGCCGACAUGGAAUAGUUUCAUUUUACAUGCGAGAAGCACUCUUUAUUUGCCCUCCAGCGUCGCACUUAAAUACUGUAACUAUCAUCCGCUCAUUCUAAGCCCUCCUCCCAAAGACGGUACAGAUGAGUACUACCGUGAAGUCUGCGAGACAGAGAGGCAUCCUGACUUGUGGAUCUACUAUUGUGCUCCUUGUGAAUAUGAAAAUCACGUUAGUUGCAUAUGUCCUGACGUCCCGCCCUGUCUUCCUGAAGCAUUGUCUCCUGGGAAUGUGGAGUUCUUGAAGGACGUCCCUUUGUCCUGCAAAGGUCUCGUCUUUGAUCACAUAUUUCCUUACAUGAUUUGCUUGGAGGAUGAAAGUGGCAGAAAGUCGACCCUCAGCUGAGGGAAAUUUCAGAUUCCAAACUAGCUUGGUUACCAGAAGAUGGCGACAUCUAGUCCGCCACCAAAUUCAAGUGAAACUUACCUAAAGAAGGUUACAAUGAGCACGAGGCCAACAUCUUACCAUCAGAUCUUCCAGUUUUUAUUUUUAUUUUUUAUUUUCGUCUGUUAAGUUUUUCAUCCUGCUUCAUCUCUUAGAUCUUUAUGUUUGCGAAAAUAAUGUUAUGAAUGUACCAUCUCACUCUUGUCCUUUCCUUGGCAUGAUAUCAACUCGUCUUAUAGGUCAUUUGGUUUUAUGAAUUUUCCAUCUAAUCAUCUUGAAGAAUUAACAUCUCGAUGCAGACUUUUCACCAAAUUACUUGAAUAUUUAGCAAAGUAUUCAUCUUUACACCAAAGUGAACAAAAAGAAUCGCAUGGUGUUGCUACCUGUAGCAUUCAUCCGUCGGAUAUUUGUAUGCACAAAGCAGUAUGCGUUAUUCAUCACUGUCAAACCCCAUAUCUUCCGUACUUUGGGAUCCCAUUGUGAUUGUCAUGACAAUAUACUUCCCAUAAAUCUUGUCAGGCGAAGCUUGAGAACCAUGUCACACAUCAAAUCUAUGUACUUAUGUUUGUAUAUCAUGGAGUCACAAUCUUAAAAUCUUUUGAGGAAACCGUCCAUUGUUAAACACCAACGAAAUUAGGUUCUCUCUACAGAAGGCAAGUUAAGACCCUGUCCCAACGAACGGAUGGAUCACUCUGAUGAUGUUGUCUGAUGUGAAGUGUAUGGAUUGUGCUCAAAUGGUGAACUCAUAUUUGUAACCUAUUUGUAACUUAGAAAAGAAACUGGGUGAACUCGUCUUUCGCAAUGGAGUUAAAAGAGGCUCAUUGCAUCCAUUAUUGCUUAUUUGAUAAGAGUACCUCAAAAGAAUCACAGUAAGCUACUGAUGAAUCUUCCAUCAGUUGAAGCCGUAAGUGCAUUUAAUUAUUGUUGUUUAUCCCUGUCGAAGACUCACGGAACACAAAUUGCUUGGAGUAGCACCACUUGAAUCCACAUCAAUCAGGACUUAACAAAUUUCAUUCGGUAAAUUGUGGCCCAACUAACUGGCCAUGGGGGGCGCAUCUGUGCUUAUGGAGUUCGAAGAAUAUUACACACAUCCAGUCCAGAUUGAUGCAAAUGAUUAACCUUGGAGCUAAACCUUCAUCCUAGCAUUGGUCCAAUCUCAAAGCCUCUACACAGAGAGACCUCCUCGGGAAAUGGUUGACACUAGAGGAAUGGUAGAGACUCAGCCCGUAAAGGCUGAGCCUUCCAAAAAUUGGAAUUCUUGCUUCGGUCGAUGUGGACUGAGAUUCACCAAUAGAAAAGCCUCUUCUCAUUCACUGACCGGGCCUCUGGGAAUUCAUGUCCUGGUCCAGACGUGCAAAUUGCAAUAUCGUUGAACGGCCCAAGUUCCUUUGCUUGGGAAAUCAUAGGACAUUAACUCUUGUCCCAGGCUGUAACUUAGCUGCUGCUGCUGCUUCUUCUUCUUUCCUCGCAAAUUCGUAAGAAUAAUGUUUAUGGGGCAAAUAAAGGAGUGAGAGAGGCAAAACUCACCGAAAAGUUCCUAGACAAAAAAUCAGUUGAUAGAAAUAUUAAAACUUGCUUGGUUUACCGUAUUUAUACAUAUGUACGUAUGUAUGUAGAUGUAAGUGUUUACGGAUAAUUUCAAUAGGAAAGAAACAAGUCAAUAGCAAAUUAAUAGCGAUUGGAUAAUUUAAUGGACUACCAUCUCUUAUCAUACAAAAUAAUCUUAACAAUUAUAUGACAAACUCCUUAAUUAUGCGCUUGGACAUGGCUUCAUUUUAGUCUUAACGUCUCGGAAGUCCUAUAUAUAUAUGUAGCGCUAUUGAUUUAUUAUGCAUAUAGAAAAAAAUUAUCGGUGAAAUCAUAUUGUCCAAAGUAAUUAUAUAUAUAGAAAGACAAAAUAUAUCCCAAAAUUUGUUGUUGGUUGGAAAUGUCGCUACUGAAUUGAAGACAUUCGAAUAUGAAUAUCGAAUAUGUAAUGGAUGGAAUAUAAUUAUCAACUUAAGUAAUUGUUCAUGCUACAAUUUUAGUUAUCUUUAAAAGAAAGGAAAAGAUUUAAGAUCUUUAAAAAAGGACUGACAUCCUCUUUUACUCAUUAGUUCACUUGCGCAAGAAAACGCGUACGCCAUAAAUGUUGGGGAAUAAGAUGAAGACAUCCGAGACAGUGCGACCCUGACGAGUGACGACCACUCCUGGUUUUGCAUCGCUAUAAGUGAGCUCUGGUCUCGGACGGUACCACCACCGACGCGACCUCCCGUCCCUAAAAGCUAGUGACAUUAAUUGAACGCGAUUUCUAGUAACUUGAAGAUGGAGACGGGAUUCAAAUGUCUCGAAAGCUUGGGAUUUGUUUUUGACCUUGGACUGGCGUGUUGGCUGAAUUCACUUUCACGUCGAGGAAGCCCAAUGAAUUAUAAAUCCAAAACGAUUUCAGCCCAUAUAAUAAGUCAUAUGAGAAAAUAAAAUUUUUCACUAUUUUUUUAUGUGAUAGUUGCAAAGAAUAUCAGUUGAGAAGUAGCAACAAAAGAAAACGCGUACGCCUCAGUUUACUAAAUUUCAUUUCUUUUUUGUCUAGCUCCAUUUAUGAUAAUGCGAGUUAGGUAAGUUGGCAACUUCAACUUGUGUUUAAUUUAGAGAGUGGAAGGUGAUAAAUUAUUGAAUCCUCCUCACUUCAGAUCUUAGUUCGAGAAUGAGAAGUAAAAUCAUAUACCUUAUUGGAUAAGUUAUUUCGAGGGUCAAGAUGUUUGGGGAACUCAUAGGGUUGGUCAUAUUUGAAAGUGCUAGUAUGAACACCUAAAGGGAGGGGGGGUGAAUAGGUGUGGAGACAAUUUUUUGCAAGGAAUAAUAGAAAUAUUUUGUUUCUAAAACUGAGUCUGAAGAAUAACAGACUUUUGAAACUGUGAAGUACAACAGACUUGGAGCGAGUUCAGAUUUUAGCAGUUAAAUAUAACCACGAACAAGAUAAAUGAGUUUAGGGAAGAAAAUAAGAAUACAAGGUUUAUAGUGGUUCGGCUUAGAUCAAGUCUAUGUCCACUCUCUCACGCUAACAGCCUUCUGGCUGAAUUCCACUAUACAAUCAACAAAAGAUUAUAACUUUGAGUGCAAACACUUAAUGCUAAAUCACAAUAUCUCACUAAGUCACUCUUUUGGUAUUUCUCUCACGAUUACAAAUGUUUAAACUCACAAGAGACAAGUGUAUUAUUGAAGGUCGCUCAGACUUAGGAAUUAUAAAUUCUAUGCUUCAUCUCUUACUUACUUAUUGGUCCCUGGCCUCCUUAAAUACUCCUCCACUUCCAAACUAGCCGUUGGACAAUUUCUCGACGAUUGUCUUCCAAUCUACCCAUUGGACAUAUCUGUAUCUAGAAGAUUUGAUAGACGUUAAGUGAUAGAAGUAGAAUCCCAAAUUGAUUCUAAUCAACCAUACAAAUAAAAUCUCGGUUUCCAUAAGUAAAGUUUCUUCGUAUAGAAAGUUCUCAUCUUUAAUAUCCAAUUAUCAAUAAAUUAGAUUGAGUUAAUCAAAUCAAUCUUGAUGUAGAAUCCAAACCAGAUUACUAGCCGUUAUAUGUUUGGGGCUUCUGUUACGAUCUGUCUCGUUAUGGAUAUAAAGUUUGAGAGUCUUUAGACCGAAGUAAAGUCUGAGCCUCUUCUGUCUGAAAUAGACUUUACAAUCUGGACGUAAGUCUGAACAUAAUUUGCUUCUGAACAAAUCUAACUUUAAGAUCUGGACACAGUUUGAAUAAAUUUAGCUUCAAUAUAGAGUCUGUCUUCUGGUUCUUCAUUCACGUUUAGUUUGAAAUUUGUUAGAGUAGGCAGAUUCUGAUGUAGAACAAACUUUGACACUAAAGUCUGGCAGUUUUUAGACUUUGACACAGAAAUCUGAAAAUCUUUAUAAUAGACUUUGGACAUGUAUUACGUUUAAUAGACUUUGGACAUGUAUUACGUUUAGUCUUCUAGCAGUUUUCAGACUUUUAUCAUCUGCAUAGUAUAUUACUUAACCAUUAAACACGUUAGUAGCCUUUUAUUUAUUUUGUCAUCUUCAAAACAUCAUAAGGAAUUUCCCUAACAAUCUCCAAUUUUUUUGAUGAUGACAAAACAAUCUUUGAAUAUGCAGAUGUGUAAUCAUAUUUUCUAAAAUAAUGAUAAAUCAACCAUCAAAUUUUAGAUUUUCAAAAAAUAUGAUUUGAAUCAAAAGACAGCAAAUAGAUUGAGCAUAACAAUAUAUAGAAAAAUAAUCGCAGCUCAAUAUUAUAAUAUUAACCAAUCAACACAUCUGCAUAUUUAUAUUCUCUCUCCCUUUUUGUCAUGAUCAAAAAGCAAUGACAAUAGAUAUAUUAUCACGUAGAGAAUAUAAAAUGAUAACCUUAAAAAAAAAAAAAAAUCAGCUUUCACAGAGUAAGUCGAAUAUUAAAGAUAUGCAAUAUAGCUCACUUCGAUCAUAUAUAUCAACAAAUAUCUAAUAAAAAUCACGAAGAGCGGAUCAUAAUUAACCGAAUUAAUUAGUUCGAUUGAUUAUGCAGCGUGACAUCCUCAUCGAAGCAGCAAAUUAAUUAAGACUCCAAACGUGAAAUUAGUAACUGAUAUAGAUUAUCAAAUAUGCAGCCUUUGGGAAGUUUUUUAGCAGGGGCAUCUGGGAGACGGUCCAAGGAGAAUGAAAAUGCAGACACAGCAAACAUGGUCGAGGACUUGUUCGUCCAACUUUAGAUGUCGCAAGUUUGCCUAUCACUGAGGUCUCCUCAGGACCGAGUUCUCUGCUAUGAAUAGUUGCGGAAUGCGAAAUAUACGUUCCUGCUGUAUCCGAUACAGAUGUCACAUUACUUUCAACUUUAGAAGUCACGUUACUUUCAACUUCCCCAAAACCACUCUUGUAUCCGGUAGAGACGUGAGUUUAUGAUGUUGAGACAGAGAUAGGACUUUAAACAUUCUCAUCUUCUUCAAGUACUUUAACAAUUUUUAGAAGUCAUCGGCAUGAGCACGAUAACAAGAAUGCGAAAUAUAGUUGUGUAUGAUUGUAUAAAUUGAAGGCAAAUUAACAAUAGUACUAUCGGUUCUACAAGAUUUUAGUAAUAUAAUCCUUGGGGCUAUUUAUUGGUACAGCACUUACGAUAUAUUGGCCUUGAAAUGAAUUUCACCGUAGAUUCCUCUCUUGCAAGGAUUUUGAUUCAAUUUACUGAUUUUAGGGCACAACAGCUCAUUUUGACAAAUACUAAAGCUGAUUCCUAGACAGAGCCAAUUUGUCAAAUUUAGAAUCCUUCCUACGCUAAUAAUGUGAAAGCUAUAGACCACACUCUCUGCAUAAUUUCCACUGAUGGAACCUUCUGUUGGUCCUCAGACAUCAAUAUUUUGACUUGACUUUAUGUUAAUUGGUUGACUUUUACAUUUCAAUGACAGAUGACCCCCAACAGAUCUUCUCGAUCAGGUAACCCAUCCCUCCAUUGAGCCGCCACCAAUGUCCAUCAAACGAAGGAACCUCCUCGGAAAUACUCAGCGUUUCCCACCCAACUGCUAGAAUUCAAGCCGCCCCACAAUAGAAACAGCCAGUUAUAGUCGCUUUCAACGCAGCCUUGUUGGACUGGCAACUCCCCAAAGACCGCUGGCUAAUGAGAAGUCAAGAUUUAACCAUACAGAGAAAGACUUAAGAGUUUGCUAACUCCACCAUGUCAAAAUCGUUGUUGCAAAAGAGAGAGCGACGGUGGAAACUUAGAUAUGUUUCCUCAUAUUUUGCUUCUUUUCUCUGUUUCAUUAGGCUCCUCUUUGUCCAUAAGCACAGACACCAUCUUGCCCGGCGAGUCUCUCUCCAGAAACCAGACAUUAAUCUCUCAAGGAGGAACAUUUGAGAUGGGCUUCUUUUCACCAGGUAACACUGGUAACUACUAUGUUGGCAUUUGGUACAAAGGAUUACCUCAAAAGACUCUAGUUUGGGUCGCAAAUAGGAACCAUCCAGUGUCCGACCCAUUCUCCUCAGAGUUGGAGCUCCUCUGGGACGGUAAUUUAGUCAUACGCGCUUCAUCCAAGCGUCAAAUCUGGUCGACCCGUUUGACAUUGCUCAUGCCUAAUUCGACUUCAGGAGUGCUCCUUGACAAUGGAAACUUCAUUUUAAGGAAGACAUCCGAUGUGUCUAGUGUAGCUUGGCAGAGUUUUGAUCAUCCCACUGAUACGUGGUUGCCAGGUGCCAAGUUUAAAUUCAAUACUUCCGAAAAGACAGUUCUGGUGGCGUGGAGAAAUUUAAACGAUCCAACUUCCGGAAUAUUCUCGACAUCCAUGGGAGCAAAAGGAGCUCUUUCGCUAUUUAACAGGUCGGAAGCCUACUGGAUUGGACGCGACUGGACUGGGGACGAUUACAGGCGUCGGUCUUCACUGGCAGCAGAAAACGUGAUAAACUACACCAUUGUUUCGAAUGAGAAUGAGACUUUCUCCAAAUAUUCCGCAAUUGCUCCUUAUAAUCUUUCUAGGAUUGUGCUUGAACCGACGGGGCUGCUCAAGCAGUUAGUAUGGGCAAAGAAUAUCCAGGAAUGGAAAGUGCUUUGGGCAUACCCAGCACAAAUGUUUGAGAUUUACCCCUUUUGUGGUGCUGCUUCUAACUGCAAUCAGAGUGAUGCACCGCUUUGUGAUUGUGCUCUUGGAUCCUCAGAUGAUCUGAAGCCGGAAGAUCAUCUGGGCCAAUGCAAUAGGAGAAACGCGUUGAAAUGUAGUGGAGAUAGGAAAGAUAUUUUUUUCCUCAUGCCUCGUACACAAUUCCCAAAUAAUUAUGAUUCGUUCAUGGUGGAAAACAUUGAUGCAUGCAGGUUAUUGUGCUUGAGCAACUGUUCGUGCAGUGCAUUCGCUUACACUGCUAACUGUCGGAUAUGGACGGAUGAGAGAUUUUUAGUUCAACGUUCAGCCAAUGAUGGAGUUUUUAAAGAUUUCUAUGUCCGGAUCGCGGUGUUGGAUUGGAAGGAGGAGAUUAAGAAAAAGGGGAAACCCAGUUUGAAAUUCAUAGCAGCAGUUGUUGUGUCCUUAGCUUUUCUCGUGCUCCUUAGUGUGUCGCUGGUUACUAUUAGGACAAGACGGUCUGCUACUGCAGUGGACGAUCAUUUGCUGCAUUUUGAAUAUCGAGUUCUGAAGAAGGCAACAAAAAACUUCUCUGAGAAAAUUGGGCAAGGCGGGUUUAGUUCUGUUUUCCGGGGAGCACUGCCAGACUCAACUCCUAUAGCAGUGAAGAAACUUGCAAACCAAAACACGAGUAACAAACAGUUCCUUGCGGAAGUUAGAACUAUUGGAACGAUACAGCACGUCAAUGUGGUUCGACUUCGUGGUUUUUGUGCAGACAAGUCGAAGAGGUUCCUAGUUUAUGACUACCUUAAAAAUGGUUCGCUUGCAGCUCAUUUGUUUCAGAAAGGUUCCAACGCCCUUGAUUGGAAAACCAGAUACGGCAUUGCCAUCGGGAUUGCUAAAGGAUUGGGGUACCUCCACGAGAGGUGUCGAGAUCGCAUUAUACACUGCGACAUCAAGCCUGAGAAUAUACUGUUGAAUUCAGAACUCGCGCCACAGAUUGCUGAUUUUGGCCUCGCAAAGCUCCUGGGACGGGAUGUCAGCUGCGUAAUUACCACCAUGAGGGGAACCAGAGGGUACCUCGCGCCAGAAUGGAUUUCAGGAGGAGUCAUCACGUCAAAAGUCGAUGUUUUCAGCUAUGGAAAGCUGCUCUUUGAGAUCAUAUCAGGAAAGAGAAACAUUGAGGAGCUGAAUAGUGAUAUGCGCGAUUAUCUACCGCUUCAGGUAGCUAAGUCAAUAGCCAAAGGAGAAGUAGUCUUGCCACUUGUGGACCGCCGAUUGGAAGGACUCGUGGAGAUGGAAGAAUUGUGCAGAGCAUGCAAAGUGGCUUGUUGGUGCAUUCAAGACACCGAGAAAGAUAGACCGACCAUGUCUCAGGUAGUUCAUAUUUUGGAGGGGGUUAUGGCAGUAGAAAAGCCUCCAAUCCCAAGAAUUUUGUUGCAACUGGUAGGAAGUGAUGAGAUUGAGGCAUAAAACGUAGCACUAUGCCCUUUCUUCGAUAAUUUAUGGGCAUGGUGUAGCCCCAAUCCAUCCUCCUUUGAGUUUCUACAGUUACAAGCUGUGUACCUCCAUGGCCAAUAAAUUACGGUAACCAUUGUGGCCACUCGAAAUAUAAAGACAAAACAGUUAAUGUCGCUGAUGGACUCACUGGUCUAGGAUUUGUAUCAUGCUUUCCAGAAUUGCAGCUCCAAACCAUUUAAUACCCAUAUUUCUCCAUCCUCUUGCAGCAGAAGAUCCAGUGAAGGAGUUGGUCAUCUAUUCAGCUUAUGUGUAUGCUCCAAAUGAAAUUAGAUGAACUGUUUAAACAAAACAAUGCAAAAUCUUUGCCCUCUUGUUUAAACAUUAUUUAUAUGAGCCAUCCCUCCCAUUAGAAACGGUUGACACUUGAAAGUUGGUAGAGGCUCCGGUCAUAGAGGCAAGAGUCAUCCAAAAAGAGGUAUUCUUUAAUAAAAGGCGAAAAAAUAGUUCACUCUGUGCUCACUCUAUGCACACCACGUAGCUGCGUUAUCAAACGACUAUUAAAUAACCAAGUCCAUAAGAUUAUCUCCAUUUCUUGCUUCAACCGUCGUGGGACUCAAAACUCACCUUUGUGGAAAACCACUUCUUAUUCGUAGGUUGGCUACAUUGUACUGCAAAGGCUUUGGCCUCUGUUCCUGGUCCAGAUGCUUGUGUGAGUCUGCUAGAGACACGCAGCCAUUUGGGCUGCCCUGGUACCAAGGAUCGCUGUCCAUGUUUGAAACAUUUAGAGCACAAAACUUUCAGCGUCAUAUUCUCUUUAUAAUAUUCCAUUUUAAUACAUGUAACUAGAUACAAAAAAAAAUUCAACUAUAGAAUCGCAAGAUACUCAACUACAGCACCUUGACUUAAUUAACUGCUCUAACUAAUUGAAUGCAUCGUAAUAUAGCCAGAUUCAAGUAAUUUACCGAUGAAAUUUGAUUAGCCUAUGAGCAGCCUGACCUGAAAAAUUUCAAAUGGUUGCUAGUAAAAGAACCGACCGUAAAGUAUUCGGUGAAUACAAGAAAGUCUCACUAGCCGACAUGGAAUAGUUUCAUUUUACAUGCGAGAAGCACUCUUUAUUUGCCCUCCAGCGUCGCACUUAAAUACUGUAACUAUCAUCCGCUCAUUCUAAGCCCUCCUCCCAAAGACGGUACAGAUGAGUACUACCGUGAAGUCUGCGAGACAGAGAGACGUCCUGACUUGUGGAUCUACUAUUGUGCUCCUUGUGAAUAUGAAGAUCACGUUAGUUGCAUAUGUCCUGACGUCCCGCCUUGUCUUCCUGAAGCAUUGUCUCCUGGGAAUGUGGAGUUCUUGAAGGACGUCCCUUUGUCCUGCGAAGGUCUCGUCUUUGAUCACAUAUUUCUUUACAUGGUUUGCUUGGAGGAUAAGUGGCAGAAACUCGACCCUCAGCUGAAGGAAAUUUCAGAUUCCAAACUAGCUUGGUUACCGGAAGACGGCGACAUCUAGUCCGCCACCAAAUUCAAGUGAAACUUACCUAAAGAAGGUUACAAUGAGCACGAGGCCAACAUCUUACCAUCAGAUCUUCCAGUUUUUUAUUUUCAUCUGUUAAGUUUUUCAUCCUGCUUCAUCUCUUAGAUCUCUAUGUUUGCGAAAAUAAUGUUAUGAAUGUGCCAUCUCACUCUUGUCCUUUCCUCGGCAUGAUAUCAACUCAUCUUAUAGGUCAUUUGGUUUUAUGAAUUUUCCGUCGAAUCAUCUUGAAGAAUUAACAUCUCGAUGCAGACUUUUCACCAAAUUACUUGAAUAUUUAGCAAAGUAUUCAUCUUUACACCAAAGUGAACAAAAAGAAUCGCAUGGUGUUGCUACCUGUAGCAUUCAUCCGUCGGAUAUUUGUAUGCACAAAGCAGUAUGUGUUAUUCGUCACUGUCAAACCCAUAUCUUCCAUACUUUGGAUCCCAUUGUGAUGGUCAUGACAAUAUACUUCCCAUAAAUCUUGUCAGGCAAAGCUUGAGAACCAUGUCACACAUCAAAUCUAUGUACUUAUGUUUGUAUAUCAUGGAGUCACAAUCUUAAAAUCUUUUGAGGAAACCGUCGAUUGUCAAACACUGACGAAAUUUGGUUCUCUCUAUAGAAGGCAAGUUAAGACCCUGUCCCAACGAACGGAUGGAUCACUCUGACGAUGUUGUCUGAUGUGAAGUGUAUGGAUUGUGCUCAAAUGGUGAAAGAAAUUGGGUGAACUCGUCUUUCACAACGGAGUUAAAAGAGGCUCAUUGCAUCCAUUAUUGCUUAUUUGAUAAGAGUACCUCAAAAGAAUCACAGUAAGCUACUGAUGAAUCUUCCAUCAGUUGAAGCCAUAAGUGCAUUUAAUUAUUGUUGUUUAUCCCUGUCGAAGACUCAUGGAACACAAAUUGCUUGGAGUAGCACCACUUGAAUCCACAUCAAUCAGGACUUAACAAAUUUCAUUUGUGGCCCAAUUAACUGGCCAUGGGGGGCGCAUCUGUGCUUAUGGAGUUCGAAGCAUAUUACACACAUCCAGUCCAGGUUGAUGCAAAUGAUUAACCUUGGAGCUAAACCUUCAUCCUAGCAUUGGUCCAAUCUCAAAGCCUCUACACAGAGAGACCUCCUCGGGAAAUGGUUGACACUAGAGGAAUGGUAGAGACUCAGCCUGUAAAGGCUGAGCCUUCCAAAAAUUGGAAUUCUUGCUUCGGUCGAGGUGGGACUGAGAUUCACCAAUAGAAAAGCCUCUUCUCAUUCACUGACCGGGCCUCUGGGAAUUCUUGUCCUGGUCCAGACAUGUGCAAAUUGCAAUAUCGUUGAACGGCCCAAGUUCCUUUGCUUGGGAAAUCAUAGGACAUUAAAUCUUGUCCCAGGCUGUAACUUAGCUGCUGCUGCUGCUGCUGCUUCUUCUUCUUUCCUCGCAAAUUCGUAAGAAUAAUGUUUAUGGGGCAAAUAAAGGAGUGAGAGAGGCAAAACUCACCAAAAAGUUCCUAGACAAAAAAUCAGUUGAUAGAAAUAUUAAAACUUGUGUGGUUUACCGUAUUUAUACAUAUGUACGUACGCAUGUAGAUGUAUGUAUGUACGGCUAAUUUCAAUGGGAAAGAAACAAGUCAAUAGCAAAUUAAUAGCGAUCGGAUAAUCUAAUGGACUACCAUCUCUUAUCAUACAAAAUAAUCUUAACAAGUAUAUGACAAACUCCUUAAUUAUGGGCGUGGACAUGGUUUCAUUUUAGUCUUAACGUCUCGUAAGUCCUAUAUAUAUGUGGCGCUAUUGAUUUAUUAUGCAUAUAGAAAAAAAUCAUAGGUGAAAUCAUAUUGUCCAAAAUAAUUAUAUAUAUAAAAAGACAAAUAUAUCCCAAAAUUUGUUGUUUGUUGGAAACGUCGCUCCCAAAUUGAAGACAUUCGAAUAUGAAUAUUGAAUAUGUAACGGAUGGAAUAUAAUUAUCAACUUAAGUAAUUGUUUAUGGUACAAAUUUAGUUAUCUUUAAAAGAAAGGAAAAGAUUUAAGAUCUUUAAAAAAAGGACUGACAUCCACUAUUACUCAUUAGUUCCCUUGCGCAAGAAAACGCGUACGCCAUGAAUGUUGGGGGAUAAAGAUGAAGACAUGCGAGACGGUGCGACCCUGACGACUCCUGGUUUUGCAUCGCUGUAAGCGAGCUCUGGUCUCGGACGGACGGUACCACCACCGACGCGACCUCCCGUCCUUAAAACCUAGUGACAAUAAUUGAACGCGAUUUCUAGUAACUUGAAGAUGGAGACGGGAUCCAAAAGUCUCGAAAGCUUGGUAUUUGUUUUUGACCUUGGACUGGUGUGUUGGCUAAGUUCACUUCCAUGUGAAAGAAGCCCAAUAAAUUACAAGCCCAAAAUGAUUUGAGCCCAUAUAAUAAGUCAUAUGAGAAAAUAAAAAAAAUAUCACUAUUUUUUUAUGUGGUAGUUGCAAAGAAUGUCAGUUGAGAAGCAGCAACAAGAGUGAGAGAGCAGAAAAUCUGGAAUUUAGGAAAGUCUUAUUUACGUCAUGCUAGCAUCGAAGGCCGAUCCGUGAUUCGAUUGAGCUAAAAUUUUGUCACUUUGUUUGUGGCGCACUCUUCUCAAAUCUGAAUUCAUUGAUUUUUGUUUGAAGCUCCCUACAUGAGGUUUUUCCAUAGGUUGAUCAAAACUUGCAUUUUUUGUCAGAUUUGUCUUUGAUUUAUCGUGAAAUUUAUUCUUGAGAUCUUUGCUAUUACAUAUCGCUAGUAUUUACUAGAGAAGAACUUUGUUCACUUGAUUUUGUUGAUAGUGAAUAUUUUGAGUGGAUUCCGAUCCCGUGGUUUUUUUAUUUUCUCACACCGAGGAGAUUUUCCACGUAAAAAACUCCCUUGUGUUUACAUACUUGGUAUUUAGUUUGCUAUAUUAUAUCGGUUCUUAUUAGAUUUACACAAAAUGGGAGAUUAUUUUGUUUUAUUGCAUUAAUCUGAUGCUGUUCAAGUUAUUAUUGUUCUCCUAUCUUGGCGAUGGCAGUGGCACAUAUGAGAUUGCUAGAGCCUUCCUAGCUUACAGAGCCUCAAUUUACUAAAUUUCAUUUCUUUUUUGUCUAGCUCCAUUUAUGAUUAUGCGAGUUAGGUAAGUUGGCAACUUCAACUUGUGUUUAAUUUAGAGAGUGGAAGGUGAUAAAUUAUUGAAUCCUCCUCACUUUAGAUCUUAGUUUGAGAUUGAGAAGUAAAAUCGUAUACCCUAUCGGAUAAGUUAUUUCGAAGGUCAAGAUGUUUGGGGAACUCGUAGAGUUGGUCAUAUCUUCAUAAGAGGAAGAUCUUUUAUACCGCACGGUGCUUCUCUUUGUAUCUCGGUAGGCUUCAAUCUUUAGUUAGAAUUUCAUCUUUACGAGUCAACAGUUAAGAUCUAAAGAGGUACCUAGAAGAGCACCUACAGGGUAGAGGAUCUGCCAUCGUCCACGCCCAAUUAAGGGCGUCGGUUUUGCUAUUGCCUAUACAAGGUAUGUUUGAUGGAGAAGCGAGGGUUUUUAUUUUUUAAGGUAAAUUAAAUACUAAGUGAGAGUUUUGCGCCUUGCACCUUUAAUUUAAGGCAACGAGAUUUGGACCAUUCAUAUCAAUGAAAUAUUAAAAUCGUGAGAGCUGAAUACCCAAAGCGGACAGUGUUAUACAAUGGUAACCCUUGGGUCCUUAUAGGUAAUAUCAGAGCUAACUCUCGACAGCAUGUGGGGCUGAUGGCAUUGUGCCUUAAGGGGUGGAGAAUGUGACGACUCAGACCCGAGAAGUAUGCGGGCGAGGCUAAGAGCAUGUCUCCUGUCCCACAUUGCCUAAGGGAGAGUUUUAGGCUAGUUGAUAAGACUUACGUUCUCUAUUUUGUGUAAGUGUUUUAAAGCUGUGAGGGCUAAAGGCCCACAACGAACAAUAUUACAUAGUGGUAGCCCCUAGAUCCUUACAACCACUAUAUAUUGUCCACUUUGGUCCUUAGAUGUGCUGCAUGUGCAAAGGCACUGUGAUGCACGUUCGUGCUGUUUCUUAAACACAUGUUUUAGAGCUGCAAGAGCAUAUGGCUGGAAUCCAGCAAAAGAAUGUCGUUUGUCUCUUUGAGCCUUCUUCUUCCUCCAUUUGUUGCAUACUCUAAGAGCGGAUCAUAAUUAACCGAAUUAAUUAAUUUCAUUGAUUAUGCAGCGAGACAUCCUCAUCGAAGCACCAAAUUAAUUAAGACUCCAAAUGUGAAAUUAGUAAGUCAUAUAGAUGAUCAAAUAUGCAGCCUUUGGGAAGUAUUUUAGCAGAGGCAUCUGGAAGACGGUCCAAGGAGAAUGAAAAUGCAGACACAGCAAACACGGUCGAGGACUUGUUCGUCCAACUUUAGAUGUCGCAAGUUUGCCUAUCACUGAGGUCUCCUCAGGACCGAGUUCUCUGCUAUGAAUAGUUGCGGAAUGCGAAAUAGACGUUCCUGUUGUAUCCGAUACAGAUGUCACAUUACUUUCAACUUUAGAAGUCACGUUACUUUCAACUUCCCCAAAACCACUCUUGUAUCCGAGAGAGACGUGAGUUUAUGAUGUUGAGACAGAGAUCAUCUUCUUCAAGUGCUUUAACAAUUUCUAGAAGUCAUCGGCAUGAGCACAAUAACAAGAAUGCGGAAUAUAGUUUUGUAUGAUUGUAUAAAUCGAAGGCAAAUUAACAAUAGUACUAUCGGUUCUACAAGAUUUUAGUAAUAUAAUCCUUGGGGCUAUUUAUUGGUACAGCACUGAUGAUAUAUUGGCCUUGAAAUGAAUUUCACCAUAGAUUCCUCUGUUGCAAGGAUUUUGAUUCAAUUUACUGAUUUUAGGGCACAACAGCUCAUUUUCACAAAUACUAAAGCUGAUUCCUAGACAGAGCCAAUUUAUCAAAUUUAGAAUCCUUCCUACGCUAAUAAUGUGAAAGCUAUAAACCACACUUUCUGCCUAAUUUCCACUGAUGGAACCUUCGGUUGGUCCUCAGAAUUCAAGAUUUUGACUCGACUUCGUGUUAAAUUGGUUGACUUUUACAUUUCAAUGACAGAUGACCCCCCAACUGAUCUUCUCGAUCAGGUAACCCAUCCCUCUAUUGAGCCGCCACCAAUGCCCAUCAAACGAAGGAACCUCCUCUGAAAUACUCCGCGUUUCCCACUCAACUGCUCCCACAAGAGAAACAGCCAGUUCUUGUCGCUUUCAACGCAGCCUCGUUGGACUGGCAACUCCCCAAAGACCGCUGGCUAAUGAGAAAUCAAGAUUCAACCGUUCAGAGAAAGACUUAAGAGUUUGCUAACUCUACCAUAUCAAAAUCGUUGUUGCAAAAGAGAGAGCGACGGUGGAAACUUAGAUAUGUUUCCUCAUAUUUUGCUUCUUUUCUCUGUUUCAUUAGGCUCCUCUUUGUCCAUAAGCACAGACACCAUCUUGCCCGGCGAGUCUCUCUCCAGAAACCGGACAUUAAUCUCUCGAGGAGGAACAUUUGAGAUGGGCUUCUUUUCACCAGGUAACACUGGUAACUACUAUGUUGGCAUUUGGUACAAAGGAUUACCUCAAAAGACUCUAGUUUGGGUUGCAAAUAGGAACCGUCCAGUGUCUGACCCAUUCUCCUCGGAGUUGAAGCUCCUCUGGGACGGUAAUUUAGUCAUACUCGCUUCAUCCAAGCGUCAAAUCUGGUCGACUGGUUCGACAUCACUCAUGCCUAAUUCGACUUCAGGAGUGCUCCUUGACAAUGGAAACUUCAUUUUAAGGAAGACAUCGGAUGUGUCUAGUGUUGCUUGGCAGAGUUUCGAUCAUCCCACUGAUACGUGGUUGCCAGGUGCCAAGUUUGUAUAUUAUUCACGUACCUCUGAACGGACAGUUUUGGUGGCUUGGACAGAUUUCGAUGAUCCAGCUCCUGGGAUAUUCUCUGCAAUGCCGGCAGCAGAAGGAAAAUUUAUGUUAUCGCUAUUUAACAGGUCAGAAGUCUACUGG
This 18817-nucleotide long non-coding RNA is filed under the name Eucalyptus grandis. Its description in RNAcentral is "long non-coding RNA (EGRA_LNC006358)". Lineage: Eukaryota; Viridiplantae; Streptophyta; Magnoliopsida; Myrtales; Myrtaceae. The record is from RNAcentral.